GCAGGCGUAGUUCAGUGGUAGAACGCGACCUUGCCAAGGUCGACAUGCGGGUCCGAUUCCCGUCGCUUGCUCCA
Molecule: transfer RNA, 74 nt
Filed under: Bacilli bacterium
Lineage: Bacteria; Bacillati; Bacillota; Bacilli
Also listed under: 1 other name
Description: tRNA-Gly
Rfam family: tRNA
About the family: Transfer RNA (tRNA) molecules are approximately 80 nucleotides in length. Their secondary structure includes four short double-helical elements and three loops (D, anti-codon, and T loops).
Source: RNAcentral